AUAAUGGGUCAGCGACUUAUAUUCUGUAGCAAGGUUAACCGAAUAGGGGAGCCGAAGGGAAACCGAGUCUUAACUGGGCGUUAAGUUGCAGGGUAUAGACCCGAAACCCGGUGAUCUAGCCAUGGGCAGGUUGAAGGUUGGGUAACACUAACUGGAGGACCGAACCGACUAAUGUUGAAAAAUUAGCGGAUGACUUGUGGCUGGGGGUGAAAGGCCAAUCAAACCGGGAGAUAGCUGGUUCUCCCCGAAAGCUAUUUAGGUAGCGCCUCGUGAAUUCAUCUCCGGGGGUAGAGCACUGUUUCGGCAAGGGGGUCAUCCCGACUUACCAACCCGAUGCAAACUGCGAAUACCGGAGAAUGUUAUCACGGGAGACACACGGCGGGUGCUAACGUCCGUCGUGAAGAGGGAAACAACCCAGACCGCCAGCUAAGGUCCCAAAGUCAUGGUUAAGUGGGAAACGAUGUGGGAAGGCCCAGACAGCCAGGAUGUUGGCUUAGAAGCAGCCAUCAUUUAAAGAAAGCGUAAUAGCUCACUGGUCGAGUCGGCCUGCGCGGAAGAUGUAACGGGGCUAAACCAUGCACCGAAGCUGCGGCAGCGACGCUGAUGCGUUGUUGGGUAGGGGAGCGUUCUGUAAGCCUGUGAAGGUGUGCUGUGAGGCAUGCUGGAGGUAUCAGAAGUGCGAAUGCUGACAUAAGUAACGAUAAAGCGGGUGAAAAGCCCGCUCGCCGGAAGACCAAGGGUUCCUGUCCAACGUUAAUCGGGGCAGGGUGAGUCGACCCCUAAGGCGAGGCCGAAAGGCGUAGUCGAUGGGAAACAGGUUAAUAUUCCUGUACUUGGUGUUACUGCGAAGGGGGGACGGAGAAGGCUAUGUUGGCCGGGCGACGGUUGUCCCGGUUUAAGCGUGUAGGCUGGUUUUCCAGGCAAAUCCGGAAAACUAAGGCUGAGGCGUGAUGACGAGGCACUACGGUGCUGAAGCAACAAAUGCCCUGCUUCCAGGAAAAGCCUCUAAGCAUCAGGUAACAUCAAAUCGUACCCCAAACCGACACAGGUGGUCAGGUAGAGAAUACCAAGGCGCUUGAGAGAACUCGGGUGAAGGAACUAGGCAAAAUGGUGCCGUAACUUCGGGAGAAGGCACGCUGAUAUGUAGGUGAAGUCCCUCGCGGAUGGAGCUGAAAUCAGUCGAAGAUACCAGCUGGCUGCAACUGUUUAUUAAAAACACAGCACUGUGCAAACACGAAAGUGGACGUAUACGGUGUGACGCCUGCCCGGUGCCGGAAGGUUAAUUGAUGGGGUCAGCGCAAGCGAAGCUCUUGAUCGAAGCCCCGGUAAACGGCGGCCGUAACUAUAACGGUCCUAAGGUAGCGAAAUUCCUUGUCGGGUAAGUUCCGACCUGCACGAAUGGCGUAAUGAUGGCCAGGCUGUCUCCACCCGAGACUCAGUGAAAUUGAACUCGCUGUGAAGAUGCAGUGUACCCGCGGCAAGACGGAAAGACCCCGUGAACCUUUACUAUAGCUUGACACUGAACAUUGAGCCUUGAUGUGUAGGAUAGGUGGGAGGCUUUGAAGUGUGGACGCCAGUCUGCAUGGAGCCGACCUUGAAAUACCACCCUUUAAUGUUUGAUGUUCUAACGUUGACCCGUAAUCCGGGUUGCGGACAGUGUCUGGUGGGUAGUUUGACUGGGGCGGUCUCCUCCUAAAGAGUAACGGAGGAGCACGAAGGUUGGCUAAUCCUGGUCGGACAUCAGGAGGUUAGUGCAAUGGCAUAAGCCAGCUUGACUGCGAGCGUGACGGCGCGAGCAGGUGCGAAAGCAGGUCAUAGUGAUCCGGUGGUUCUGAAUGGAAGGGCCAUCGCUCAACGGAUAAAAGGUACUCCGGGGAUAACAGGCUGAUACCGCCCAAGAGUUCAUAUCGACGGCGGUGUUUGGCACCUCGAUGUCGGCUCAUCACAUCCUGGGGCUGAAGUAGGUCCCAAGGGUAUGGCUGUUCGCCAUUUAAAGUGGUACGCGAGCUGGGUUUAGAACGUCGUGAGACAGUUCGGUCCCUAUCUGCCGUGGGCGCUGGAGAACUGAGGGGGGCUGCUCCUAGUACGAGAGGACCGGAGUGGACGCAUCACUGGUGUUCGGGUU
This 2125-nucleotide ribosomal RNA is filed under the name Escherichia coli. RNAcentral's name for it is "partial 23S ribosomal RNA". It matches the Rfam family "Bacterial large subunit ribosomal RNA", at positions 612 to 2722 of the family's 2925-position model. Lineage: Bacteria; Pseudomonadati; Pseudomonadota; Gammaproteobacteria; Enterobacterales; Enterobacteriaceae. The record is from RNAcentral.